Molecule: long non-coding RNA, 5157 nt
Organism: Vidua macroura (Pin-tailed whydah)
Lineage: Eukaryota; Metazoa; Chordata; Aves; Passeriformes; Viduidae
Exons: 2
Source: RefSeq, a predicted model, not a curated record
UGGGAGCGGGGCCGUGGGAUGGGAGUCUGCCCCGGGGCUUGGAGGGGCCCGCACGGCUGCGGUGGGUGCGUGGCAGGAGCGGGCGGCGUGGCGGUGAAGCGGCGGGCGGUCCCGGCUGCCGGGCGGUGCUGGUCGCGGACGGAGGCCGCUCUGUGUGGCGCAGGAGCCGGGGCGGACCCGGUCGCUCUUGGGGAUGUGCCCCCCGCGCCUUCCGGGGAGAGGGGCCCGUGCGGGGCUGUAGCAGCCACGGUGCUUGGCCCUUGGAUCAAGUACGCACUGUGGGUUAAAGAGCAGGCCUGGCUUUGGUGGGGCGGCUGCCCUCAGGCAGCAGAUUGUCCUUGUCGCACACCAGGUGACAGCCUGCGCAUCGCUGGUUUGACGGGGUUUUUUGAGGGUUCUGGCUCUGUCUGCUGCCUGAUAAUUGCACUAAUGGUGUCUGGUUGUCAGAGACAUACGGCUUAGUGUGACCAGCAGGAGGAGCUUUGCUUCCUUUUAAAGUCCUUAGUAUGUCUGUAAGGGGGUAGGUUGAGAUUAGAUAUAAGGCAGAAAUUCUUUACUGUGAGGGGGGUGAGGCACUGGCACAGGUUGCCCAGAGAAGCUGUGAAUGCCCCAUCCCUAGAACUGUUCAAGGCCAGGCUGAAUGGGGCACUGGGCAGCCUGGUCUACUGGAGGGUGUCCCUGUCCAUGGCAGGAGAGGGUUGCAACCAGAUGGUCUUUGAGGUCACUUCCAACCCAAAUGUAUAAUUCUAUGUCCAUAGACACGUAAAUCAUGUUUAGAAAAAGGUGAGAGAGCAGAUGAUAUGGUGUAAGACAUCUCAGCAUAGUAUGGGAGCAGCCAAGCUGACUUGCUUCCCCACUGUUUUGCCUGGGAUUGCUGUCUCAUGUUGGCAUGGCUUAGCCAGCUGACUAAGUGCUGUCUUAGCUUCAGCCCUCUGGCUGGCAUGCAGGACUUAGGAUGGAAUUUUGAGCAGUGGUUUUAGACUUUCUUGUAGUGAACAUUAUCCCUGCUUGUGGUAGUCUUUUGUGCUGGGGAAUGGGAAAUACUUGUUCAUCAAAUGAAAGAGUAAUCAAAGUUCUGUGAGCCUUAAAGGGACUGGAGUUCCCUGAAACCAUGUGUGGAAGGCCUGUGCUCAAAACUGGAAGGGAAGAUGGUCAAAGUGUUGCAUGGCUUGUGAAAUAAUACCCUUUCUAGUUACAGCUGAUUCCUGUGAAAUAAAGCACUUCAUUAUGCCAAGAGGAUACUUAAUUGGAAAGGGUUGUGAAGAGUUUUGCAGGAUUGCUUGAAGUCUUGGCAAAAGUCCAGUAGUGGUACAGCUCAGGUAAAAUGGAGUCACAAGGGUGUAUUUCAUUCUUUAGCUCCUCCUGGAGGUAAGUAUAAGGCAUUUGCUCAGGGCAUUGCUGCCCAGUAACUACACAGGUGGUGUGUUUGCUACAGGAUACAUGAGUGCUGGAGGAAGGAUGUUGUGAGAUGUUCUGUGGUGCAGAUACUUCGCCUGAACAUUGCAGCCUUUCAAGAUUUGCUGGUACUACAGCAAUGUGUGCUAUGCUUUUAUCACUUUAGAUGCAGCUCUCUCUAGUUAAAGAAGCUGAACCAGUUGCAUGCCAUCCUGCAAAAAGUCCAGUGUUCUGAGGGUGCUUCUCCUCACAGGCAGGUUCUCCUGUUUUAUCAUACUCCUCACUGAAGAAAAGGAGUGGUGGGGGUGUAAUGCUCCGUUAAUAAAAUUUGUAGCAUCAAUAGUUCCAUACAUCUGGAGAAUUCUGAAUUACAAGUACAGCCCCUUUUAUUUCUUUCCUAAUUCUGUUUCUCCUCUACACAGAUACUUUUGGUUAGGUGAGCUGUGGGUGAAAUAAAGGGCACUAUGACUUCUGUCACAGCUGUUGUCCGCUGUAGACUUUAGGCCUCUUCUUUUAUCUCUGCAGCUGAUACCUGAUGUAGGUGCCACUGAUGUCUCAUCUAAAGUAGGAAAAAAUAAAUUACUUCAGAAAGACCCAGAUGAGCACCUGAUGCAAGAGAGAAGUAAAACAAGUUUUCUCUGCGUGUGUUGUUCACUUUGGUCUGUUUUGGAGGAUUUGAUACUUGCCAGUGUAUGGAUCUUACUUGUUGGUCACAGCUUGUCAGACAUGUUAAUGAUGAAACCUGUGUUACAUAUCUCAGACUUGGAUAAUCUGUUCACCUGAAAGUGCCAAUGUCCAAAUCUAUCCUGACCCAACAGGCCUUAAUUGCAAUGUCUGUAAGAAGCUUACAGUCCUAUUGCAGAAAUAGGUGCUGUGGCUGCAUCUCAUAUGAAAAGACAGAAGGUGACAGUAGAACUAAAAACCCACCUGUGGCUUUUCCUAAACAUCAGUAUGCUCUGCUUUAAUGCUGUUAAUGAAAACCUACUCCUCUGUCUCUGUGGUCCUCAGCCUAUGCAGCGGAGAGGUUAGUGUGUACUUUACUAUGCUGACAUCCUGCACUGCAAUACCUAUGGGUUGUCUUUGUUACUGAAGUGAUUUUGGUGGACUCUGGUAAGCAACCACCCUGUUUCCUGACCUGGAAUCAGUUGGAAGAUCCUGAAGGAGGGAUGAGGAAGUUAAGUAGGAAUGUGUGAUCACAUUGCUCAAAGAAGAAAAUGCUCAGUCUAAGUUUAAUCCAAGUUCUUACAAGAAGCCUGUAUUCUUGUCUCAGUGCUCAUUCUGACAAGUUUGCUCUUAAAGAAACCAAGCAUUUGGAUGCUUAAAUAGAGUAUUCACUGGGUGGUAUACAAAGCCAGGCUGCAUAAGAAAUACAGAUUUCAAGAUGAAGUGUACUAAUACAUCAUGUCAUAAUUUUUAAGGUGUGUGGUGGUCUAGUCUACUGUCACUGUCACAUCCACAGUGCAGCACAGAAAACUGUCGGGGUCCUUGGAAAUGAUGGUCAGGCAUAAUGUCAUUCCUGGUAUACAAAUUAACUGUACGAAAAGAUUUGCAUAUGCACUGAAACAAAGUGGAAUAUGGUUUCUAAGAGUGAUACCAUCUAUGCUAGUCUUGGCACGUAAAUUUUGUUUUAAGAUCCUCUUUUUUAAAUUAUCCUGGCUGUAAAACAUAGUUGUCUGCAGUCCCUUUGGGGGAAGGAGUGGAAGUGUCACUGACCAACUGCUUAUUUCAAAGCCUGUGGGGGAAGGGUGUAAAUCCUUUCAAAUUAAAGUUACUGCUCAGAUGAUAGUGGAUGAAGAAGCUGUGAUGCAGGUUGAUUUAUUUUGUUUCCUAUGGAGCUGGAACUUUCCCAAGAAGUUUCUGGAGCUGCAAGGGGAAAGGUGAGAGGAUGAGUUCAGCUAGGAAGAACAGGUAAGUACUUGUAUAUCGCAUUACUGUUUCCAAGUAUCUUAAUGAUAAUGAUAAGAAUACAUUGUGAGCUUGGAAAAACAGGAAAGAGUGGAAGGCUUCUCUGCAUUUUUAAAAUCUGCUAAAUGAAAAUGUGGGGAGUCAGCUGUUAAACCAAUACCUUGAAGAGCCUAGUAUUUGUGCAUAGCCAAACGAAUGUAAAGCAACUCUGGAAAUAAUUCUAAUGACUAAUUAUAAGGUGUUACCCUUUUGUCUUUCAGCAGAAAGAAGAGUGCUCUAAGAGCAGUGAAGAGUCAAAUUAGGAUGGACGUGUUCUUCAGCUGAAACAUGGCAGCGGUUCAAUACAGUUACACAACAGAAAAGGGUGUGCAGGCUGCUGCAAGUCCCUGUGUUCUUAAGAUCUGGUAUCUGAAAGAACUGAGUAGAGAGAGAAAGGUGGUUGCUUCCACAGCUUCGAACUUGUUCAGUUCACUCUAACAAACUCAGUUGAAAAAAGAGCUCAUCUAAUACUGAAACAGGAAAUAGAUUUUAUUUUAGAUACUGGGGAAGAUAAUCACAAUAUGCAGAACUUAAAAGGGCUAGUCAGGACACUGAAAAGCUGCUGGCAGCUGAAGUACAGGAGGCUCCAAGACUCCAGUUGUGGGAAGCUCCCUUUUGGAAGGCACACUAGCAGUGGGAAGAACUUGAUAAACACAAGGGGAAUCAAAAGGUCUGCAGCUGCUAGCUACACACGGAUAUAUUUCUUAAGGUGAGAUGGCCUGACAUGGCCACUAAAAACCGUAAGGCUGUAGGCAGACUGCAUUUCUCUUAAAAGGAUAUAUGCCACUACCCAGAUCAGAACCAUCCAAACAGCUUCAGUUUUUGUCAAAUACUCUUAGUUCUUGGAACAAUAGCUUUUUUUGGUCCACCUAACUCCUGCAGAGCCAGCUGGCUGAUUGUAACUGUGCACUGAAGAUAAGCCUUCACCACCCCUGGAUUGCUGGAUAACGGCACACAAAUGUGGCUCUGAUAGACGGAGGGCUGAGCGUAAAUCCUUUGGCUGCCACUGUUCUGACUUUAAUAUAUACAAUGGGUGCCCUGAGCACUUCCAUGUGGAACAAGAAACACUUGAAGCGCAUGUUUAGAUGUAUUUUCUGUGUGCACUGCCCUCUGCAGCACAAAUCUUGAUGAAAUCCUGUAUUACAUAGAGCAGGUAGAGUGUAUCCCACAGAGGUUAUGGUUGGUGUGGACCUGACUCAGUUGUCACUAAUCCAGGGAAGAUCUAUUUAUGUUGUGGUGUGGUAAACCUGAGUUGGUAACUGAUACUGUUUAGUUGAUGGGCUUGUCCAUGCCAGGAGAGCAGUUCCUGAGCUGACAAACAUUCAAGCAUGGUACUAGCUUUUACGUCUUUCAACAUUGAAAAAAAAAAAAAAGUGGGAGGAGAGAGAACAGGAUUUUUAAGGGCCACAUAAAUUUUACUGAAAUUAAAAGCUCACUAAGAAUAUGUUCAUUGAAGGAAUGCAUUUUGGGAAAUUACCUCUUUUGACAAGGGCAAUACGAGCCUUUGGUUAUGGCAAGUGUCCGGCACUGUUAUUUGGCCCUUUUGUAAGGUUGUAGGGGAAGAGUGUUGGAUGAAGGGAGAGUGAAAGCCAUAACCAGAGGUUAACAUUUAAUUUUAGCAGCUAUGUUUAUGUGAAGUGAUGCACCAUUGCUAAUUUUCAAAGGAAGUCCCACACCUAAAUUGAUGGAAUCCCUGAUCGUGUGUGCAAGUGUCUUUGGGUUCUUCAGCUGUUUGAGUGCAGUGGUGCAAAAUUACAUGUUGCUUCCUCUAUGAUUCAGUUUAAAAUACAAGCUUGGGCAGUGAGUACCUAAACAACA